CGUUGCGCGGCGCCACCGCGCCGAGCGCGGCGUCGCGCGCCGGCCGCUCGACGGGGAGCGCUUCGAGCGCCUUGCGAUCGAGCUUGCCGGUGAUGCCCUUCGGCAGCGCAUGCGCGAACGCGUAGUCGGCCGGCACCAUAUAGUCCGGCAGACGCUGCUCGAGCGCGCCGACGAGGGCAUCGCGCAGGCGCGCGCGCUCGUCCCGCGACGGCGCCGCCGCGGCGCUCUCGGCGGGCACGACGUACGCGACGAGCCGCGCGUCGCCGUCCGGCUCGCGCUUGAGGAUCACGGCCGCCUCGCCGACGAGCGGGUGCGCGUUCAGCGCGCUCGCGAUCUCGUCGAGCUCGACGCGAUAGCCGCGAAUCUUGAUCUGCUGAUCGGUGCGGCCGAGGAAUUCGAGCAUCCCGUCGCGCGUCCAGCGCGCGAGGUCGCCUGUCAUGUAGAUGCGCCCGCCCGGCGUGAACGGGUCCGGCAGGAACCGCUCGGCGGUCAGCUCGUCGCGAUUCAGGUAGCCGCGCGCGACGCCGUCGCCGGCGAUAUACAAGUCGCCCGGCAUCCCGAUCGGCAUCGGCCGCAUCCGUUCGUCGAGCACGUAGACGCGCAUGUUGCCGAGCGCGCGCCCGAUCGGCACCCUGCCGUUCGGGAUCGGCGCGGUGUGCGCGUAACCGGUGGCGAACACGGUCGUCUCGGUCGGGCCGUACAUGUUGUAGAUCGUGGCGGGACGCAAUGCAUGCCACGCAUCGUUCGCGAGCGCGCUCGUCAACUCCUCGCCGACGACGAACACGUGCCGCAGCCGGUGCCCGCGCGCGAAGCGCGCAUCGGCCGCCGCCUCCGUCACGAACUGGCGCAGCAGCGACGGCGUGAAAUUCAGGUGCGUGACGCCGUGCCGAAGCAAUGCCUCGACGAUCAGAUCGGGCGAGCCCUCGGCCUGCGGCGCGAGGAUCGCGAGCGAGCCGUCGCCGACGAACCAGCCGAACAGCUCCGGCACCGACACGUCGAACGCGUAGUUCGUCUUCAGCAGAUAGCGAUCGUGCGCGCCCACCGGGUAGCUCGCCUCCAUCACGUCGAGCAGGUUCGUCACGUUCGCGUGCGUGACGGCGACGCCCUUCGGCUUGCCGGUCGAGCCGGACGUAUAGAGCACGUAGGCCGCCGCGUGCGGAUCGACGGCGGGCGCCGCGCGCGGCGGCGCGGCGCGCGGCGGCGCGGGCGCGUCGAGGCACAGCGUGUCGAUGUCGAACGACGCGAGCCGCUCGCGGCGAAUCGGCUCGAUCGUCAGCAGCAGCGCCGCCGCGCUGUCGCUCAGCAUGAACGCCACGCGGUCGGCCGGCAGUUGCGGGUCGAUCGGCACAUAAGCGCAGCCGGCCUUGAGCGUCGCGAGGAUCGCG
RNAcentral lists this ribosomal RNA (1385 nucleotides) under Burkholderia mallei 2002721280. Its description in RNAcentral is "16S ribosomal RNA". The record is from RNAcentral. Lineage: Bacteria; Pseudomonadati; Pseudomonadota; Betaproteobacteria; Burkholderiales; Burkholderiaceae.